This 430-nucleotide ribosomal RNA is filed under the name uncultured bacterium. Its description in RNAcentral is "bacterial SSU rRNA". It matches the Rfam family "Bacterial small subunit ribosomal RNA", at positions 355 to 776 of the family's 1533-position model. The record is from RNAcentral.
UGGGGAAUCUUGCACAAUGGGCGCAAGCCUGAUGCAGCAACGCCGCGUGAGUGAAGAAGGUUUUUGGAUUGUAAAGCUCUUUCGGCUAGGAAGAAGGGUCUACGGGUUAAUACCUCGAAGAUUUGACGGUACUAGAAGAAGAAGCACCGGCUAAUUCCGUGCCAGCAGCCGCGGUAAUACGGAAGGUGCGAGCGUUGUUCGGAAUGACUGGGCGUAAAGCGCAUGUAGGCGGGUUUAUAAGCCGGAUGUGAAAUCCCUGGGCUCAACCCAGGAACUGCACCCGGAACUGUAGAUCUUGAAUGCUUGAGGGGUUGGUAGAAUUUCUGGUGUAGGAGUGAAAUCCGUAGAUAUCAGAAGGAAGACCGGAGGCGAAGGCGGCCAACUGGCAAUGCAUUGACGCUGAGAUGCGAAAGCGUGGGGAGCAAACAGG